ACGAACGCUGGCGGCGUGCCUAAUACCUGCAAGUAGAACGCUGAAGAGAGGAGCUUGCUCUUCUUGGAUGAGUUGCGAACGGGUGAGUAACGCGUAGGUAGCCUGCCUUGUAGCGGGGGAUAACUAUUGGAAACGAUAGCUAAUACCGCAUAACAAUGGAUGACACAUGUCAUUUAUUUGAAAGGGGCAAUUGCUCCACUACAAGAUGGACCUGCGUUGUAUUAGCUAGUAGGUGAGGUAAUGGCUCACCUAGGCGACGAUACAUAGCCGACCUGAGAGGGUGAUCGGCCACACUGGGACUGAGACACGGCCCAGACUCCUACGGGAGGCAGCAGUAGGGAAUCUUCGGCAAUGGGGGCAACCCUGACCGAGCAACGCCGCGUGAGUGAAGAGGGUUUUCGGAUCGUAAAGCUCUGUUGUAAGUCAAGAACGGGUGUGAGAGUGGAAAGUUCACACUGUGACGGUAGCUUACCAGAAAGGGACGGCUAACUACGUG
This 496-nucleotide ribosomal RNA is filed under the name uncultured bacterium. RNAcentral's name for it is "partial 16S ribosomal RNA". It matches the Rfam family "Bacterial small subunit ribosomal RNA", at positions 29 to 507 of the family's 1533-position model. The record is from RNAcentral.